RNAcentral lists this ribosomal RNA (500 nucleotides) under uncultured bacterium. RNAcentral's name for it is "partial 16S ribosomal RNA". It matches the Rfam family "Bacterial small subunit ribosomal RNA", at positions 30 to 523 of the family's 1533-position model. The record is from RNAcentral.
AUUGAACGCUGGCGGAAUGCUUUACACAUGCAAGUCGAACGGCAGCACGGACUUCGGUCUGGUGGCGAGUGGCGAACGGGUGAGUAAUGUAACGGAACGUGCCCAGUCGUGGGGGAUAACGUAGUGAAAAUUACGCUAAUACCGCAUACGAUCUAUGGAUGAAAGCGGGGGAUAGCAAGACCUCGCGCGAUUGGAGCGGCCGAUAUCAGAUUAGGUAGUUGGUGGGGUAAAGGCCCACCAAGCCAACGAUCUAUAGCUGGUCUGAGAGGACGACCAGCCACACUGGAACUGAGACACGGUCCAGACUCCUACGGGAGGCAGCAGUGGGGAAUUUUGGACAAUGGGCGAAAGCCUGAUCCAGCCAUUCCGCGUGCAGGAUGAAGGCCCUCGGGUUGUAAACUGCUUUUGUACAGAACGAAAAGGUUUCUACUAAUACUAGGAGCUCAUGACGGUACUGUAAGAAUAAGCACCGGCUAACUACGUGCCAGCCGCCGCGGUAA